RNAcentral lists this unclassified non-coding RNA (252 nucleotides) under uncultured fungus. RNAcentral's name for it is "sequence contains ITS1, 5.8S rRNA gene". The stretch from base 204 to 252 matches the Rfam family "5.8S ribosomal RNA", at positions 1 to 49 of the family's 154-position model. The record is from RNAcentral. Lineage: Eukaryota; Fungi.
UCUCCGUUGGUGAACCAGCGGAGGGAUCAUUACAGAGUUUUCUAACUCCCAAACCCAUGUGAACUUACCUUUGUUGCCUCGGCAGAAGCUACCCUGUAACGAGCUACCCUGUAGCGACUUACCCUGUAGCGAUCAUUCUGCCGGUGGACCAUUAAACUCUUGUUAUUUUAUUGUAAUCUGAGCGUCUUAUUUUAAUAAGUCAAAACUUUCAACAACGGAUCUCUUGGUUCUGGCAUCGAUGAAGAACGCAGC